This 784-nucleotide ribosomal RNA is filed under the name Procambarus caritus. RNAcentral's name for it is "eukaryotic LSU rRNA". The stretch from base 308 to 784 matches the Rfam family "Eukaryotic large subunit ribosomal RNA", at positions 665 to 926 of the family's 3401-position model. Lineage: Eukaryota; Metazoa; Arthropoda; Malacostraca; Decapoda; Cambaridae. The record is from RNAcentral. RNAcentral also lists the same sequence under 1 other name.
GGGGACGUAACAAAGCGACCCAGGAAUGCUUGGGCGUGCCUCCACCCACGCCGGCGUCGGCGGGCGUAUUUCGCCUCACAGUAGGUCGCCGCGACCCGUUGCUUUUGGGGACGUCGAAGGCCCGGACGGAUUGGUACCCUAUCGGCUGGGGAUGCGGCUUCGGCUUCUCCUCUUGUCCGGUGGGCGAAACCGCCGGUGUCCUGGCUGCCCUGCGACGGUCGUAGAGACGAGCCCCUCCCAUUCGUGGGGGGCGGCUCUCGCGGCGUGCAAAAGGUCGGUGAUCCACCCGACCCGUCUUGAAACACGGACCAAGGAGUCUAACAUGUGUGCGAGUCAGUGGGCGCACUAAACCCAGAGGCGUAAUGAAAGUGACACGGGUUCGGCUGUCGCCUCGUGUGGCAGCCGGACUCAGGGCCGAUCCCUCACCGGUUGCCCUCGCCUUCUCUCCCGCGUCUCGGUAAGCCGGGUGAGCUAUUUUCCCCGGCCGCUGCUGCGGGGCUCGGGGGGAGGCGGGGUGCGAUGGUGUCCGUCAAAAAGAGCCUGCUGUUGCAGGGGGGCGCAGGCCCGGGACUUGCCAGGACGCCGCGAGACUGUCACUUUGCUGUGAGGCUCCAGGGCCGAUCAGCGGGUCAUGCGUGCAGUCGGCAAGUACCAUGAGCAGACAUGUUGGGACCCGAAAGAUGGUGAACUAUGCCUGGCCAGGAUGAAGCCAGAGGAAACUCUGGUGGAGGUCCGUAGCGAUUCUGACGUGCAAAUCGAUCGUCGGAGCUGGGUAUAGGGGCGA